RNAcentral lists this ribosomal RNA (254 nucleotides) under uncultured bacterium. Its description in RNAcentral is "partial 16S ribosomal RNA". It matches the Rfam family "Bacterial small subunit ribosomal RNA", at positions 524 to 776 of the family's 1533-position model. The record is from RNAcentral.
UACGAAGGGGGCUAGCGUUGUUCGGAAUUACUGGGCGUAAAGGGCUCGUAGGCGGCCAACUAAGUCAGACGUGAAAUCCCUCGGCUUAACCGGGGAACUGCGUCUGAUACUGGAUGGCUUGAGUUUGGGAGAGGGAUGCGGAAUUCCAGGUGUAGCGGUGAAAUGCGUAGAUAUCUGGAGGAACACCGGUGGCGAAGGCGGCAUCCUGGACCAACACUGACGCUGAGUGAGCGAAAGCGUGGGGAGCAAACAGG